CAUUUAUUUACCUGCAAUUUUUACGACGUACAUUACCGGCAUCGUCUUCCCUCCUGCACCAUGCUUCACCUCAUCUGCUUUGAUCGGCUCUAUUUGGCGAGACGCUUUCUGGAGACAAACUGCUAUGCCGUGAUCCCCUCCUCUGACCCCGCCAGCAGGUCGCACACUCUGGUGGCUAGGAAUACCUCUUGAGUGCCCGCGGAUACCGAUAUGACCAGGGGCAUCAUCACCUUUUUGGUCUUCCGGUUCAUAUAAGCAAGUGUGCGCCUGAUGAUGUCUGUCCAAUUCAGGCGCCUGACCAGCUGACAUCGCGAACUCCCAGCCGGCUCCCGCGCACGGGGCCAAGAGCCAUGUGUGCCUCUCGAGCCAUGAUUCUUGUUGCUUUUUGUCCGACAUUUUGGUCCGGCAACUGCCAUGGCCAUCUUCCUUGCGUCCCCCGCUGUUUUCUCCUCCACUGGUGAUUCCGCCGUAGUUCCUCGUCCUCUGUGACAGCCACUGGCUUGCCUGUCCUGAUGCCGCUGCAACGUUAGUGAUGAUCAGUGAGCUGCAGUGAUCGACGGCGGAGUUGUUGGUUAACGCCAACGGGAAAUAAUGUCAUUCAUUAUUUCCCCCCCAUUCAUAAGCUGCCGAAUGAAACGCUGGGCUUCAGCUUCGAGACGCGGGUUUUUGGAGUCCUUAGCGAAGUAUCAAGGAUAUUUUUCCAAAUACACGAACCUAUGGAACGGCCAGAUCGGCCCACAAAUAACGAAGAAAACAGGAAAAAUAUGACUGCAGAAAAUAUCCUGGAUCUUUGGCCCAUGAGUACUGGUUUUUUCUGAA
Molecule: small RNA, 819 nt
Filed under: Drosophila pseudoobscura pseudoobscura
Lineage: Eukaryota; Metazoa; Arthropoda; Insecta; Diptera; Drosophilidae
Description: GA31104
Source: RNAcentral